RNAcentral lists this ribosomal RNA (559 nucleotides) under uncultured Glomus. RNAcentral's name for it is "SSU rRNA". It matches the Rfam family "Eukaryotic small subunit ribosomal RNA", at positions 546 to 1106 of the family's 1831-position model. Lineage: Eukaryota; Fungi; Glomeromycota; Glomeromycetes; Glomerales; Glomeraceae. The record is from RNAcentral.
AAUUGGAGGGCAAGUCUGGUGCCAGCAGCCGCGGUAAUUCCAGCUCCAAUAGCGUAUAUUAAAGUUGUUGCAGUUAAAAAGCUCGUAGUUGAAUUUCGGGGUUAGUAGGUUGGUCAUGCCUCUGGUAUGUACUGAUCUCACUGAUUCCUCCUUCCUUAUGAACCGUAAUGCCAUUAAUUUGGUGUUGCGGGGAAUUUGGACUGUUACUUUGAAAAAAUUAGAGUGUUUAAAGCAGGCUAACGCUUGAAUACAUUAGCAUGGAAUAAUGAAAUAGGACGUUCGAUCUUAUUUUGUUGGUUUCUAGGAUUGACGUAAUGAUUAAUAGGGAUAGUUGGGGGCAUUAGUAUUCAAUUGUCAGAGGUGAAAUUCUUGGAUUUAUUGAAGACUAACUACUGCGAAAGCAUUUGCCAAGGAUGUUUUCAUUAAUCAAGAACGAAAGUUAGGGGAUCGAAGACGAUCAGAUACCGUCGUAGUCUUAACCAUAAAUUAUGCCGACUAGGGAUCGGAUGAUGUUAAUUUUUUAAUGACUCAUUCGGCGCCUUACGGGAAACCAAAGUGU